RNAcentral lists this ribosomal RNA (495 nucleotides) under uncultured bacterium. Its description in RNAcentral is "partial 16S ribosomal RNA". It matches the Rfam family "Bacterial small subunit ribosomal RNA", at positions 30 to 523 of the family's 1533-position model. The record is from RNAcentral.
AUUGAACGCCGGCGGAAUGCUUACACAUGCAAGUCGAACGGUAGAGGGGGCAACCCCUCGAGAGUGGCGAACGGGUGAGUAAUAUAUCGGAACGUGCCCAGUCGUGGGGGAUAACGUAGCGAAAGUUACGCUAAUACCGCAUACGAUCUAAGGAUGAAAGCGGGGGACCGUAAGGCCUCGCGCGAUUGGAGCGGCCGAUAUCAGAUUAGGUAGUUGGUGAGGUAAAGGCUCACCAAGCCAACGAUCUGUAGCUGGUCUGAGAGGACGACCAGCCACACUGGAACUGAGACACGGUCCAGACUCCUACGGGAGGCAGCAGUGGGGAAUUUUGGACAAUGGACGCAAGUCUGAUCCAGCCAUUCCGCGUGCAGGAUGAAGGCCCUCGGGUUGUAAACUGCUUUUGUACGGAACGAAAAGGUCUCUCCUAAUACGAGGGGCUCAUGACGGUACCGUAAGAAUAAGCACCGGCUAACUACGUGCCAGCAGCCGCCGUAA